GUGAGUAAUGCCUAGGAAUCUGCCUGGUAGUGGGGGAUAACGUUCGGAAACGGACGCUAAUACCGCAUACGUCCUACGGGAGAAAGCAGGGGACCUUCGGGCCUUGCGCUAUCAGAUGAGCCUAGGUCGGAUUAGCUAGUUGGUGGGGUAAUGGCUCACCAAGGCGACGAUCCGUAACUGGUCUGAGAGGAUGAUCAGUCACACUGGAACUGAGACACGGUCCAGACU
RNAcentral lists this ribosomal RNA (228 nucleotides) under Klebsiella variicola. RNAcentral's name for it is "partial 16S ribosomal RNA". It matches the Rfam family "Bacterial small subunit ribosomal RNA", at positions 106 to 337 of the family's 1533-position model. The record is from RNAcentral. Lineage: Bacteria; Pseudomonadati; Pseudomonadota; Gammaproteobacteria; Enterobacterales; Enterobacteriaceae.